This 503-nucleotide ribosomal RNA is filed under the name uncultured bacterium. RNAcentral describes it as "bacterial SSU rRNA". It matches the Rfam family "Bacterial small subunit ribosomal RNA", at positions 18 to 507 of the family's 1533-position model. The record is from RNAcentral.
CAUGGCUCAGAUUGAACGCUGGCGGCAGGCCUAACACAUGGCAAGUCGAACGGUAACAGGAAGAAGCUUGCUUCUUUGCUGACGAGUGGCGGACGGGUGAGUAAUGUCUGGGAAACUGCCUGAUGGAGGGGGAUAACUACUGGAAACGGUAGCUAAUACCGCAUAACGUCGCAAGACCAAAAAAGGGGGGACCUUCGGGCCUCUUGCCAUCGGAUGUGCCCAGAUGGGAUUAGCUAGUAGGUGGGGUAACGGCUCACCUAGGCGACGAUCCCUAGCUGGUCUGAGAGGAUGACCAGCCACACUGGAACUGAGACACGGUCCAGACUCCUACGGGAGGCAGCAGUGGGGAAUAUUGCACAAUGGGCGCAAGCCUGAUGCAGCCAUGCCGCGUGUAUGAGGAAGGCCUUCGGGUUGUAAAGUACUUUCAGCGGGGAGGAAGGGAGUAAAGUUAAUACCUUUGCUCAUUGACGUUACCCGCAGAAGAAGCACCGGCUAACUCCGUG